Long non-coding RNA from Carya illinoinensis, 1150 nucleotides. RefSeq lists it as uncharacterized. NCBI's taxonomy places the organism in Eukaryota, Viridiplantae, Streptophyta, Magnoliopsida, Fagales, Juglandaceae. The record is from RefSeq and is a predicted model, not a curated record. The transcript is spliced from 2 exons.
UGAGGUUUCCUGCCUUUCCUCUUCCAAUCCUUCUACAACACACCACUCAGUUUUCUAUGGAUCCCUUUUGGUGUGAUGAUCAUAUUAUAUAUGAUUAUUAUUCUUAUAAAGAAUUUCAAAUGAUGCAAGCAAUGGCACAACAUCGAGAGCGAAGGGCCCAAGAAGCAUCUGCUUCAUGUCGAUGGCAUACGUUCAUUAGACGUGAUCCCUUGGAAGGCCAUCAACACCUUUGGAAUGAUUACUUCGCUCAGCCACCAACAUAUCUGCCUAAUGCUUUUAGGAGGAGGUUCCAAAUGGGUCGUGAUCUAUUUUUACGCAUUCAUUUUGCAGUAGAAGCUUAUGAUGAUUAUUUUGUCCAAAAAAGAUAUGCUAGUGGAAGGUUUGGAUUGUCUUCCCUUCAAAAGAUGACUAAAGAAAUUCUGAUGCUUGCACAUGGGGUAAUGGUAGAUCUUAUGGACGAAUAGUUUAGAAUCAAAGAAACCACCACACGAUUGAGUUUGAAAAAAUUUGUUAAGGUUGUGCUCCUCUAUGCAACUACUCAAUCAAUGAGCAUGACUAUAUGAUGGGAUAUUAUCUUGCUAAUGGUAUAUAUCCUUUAUGGACAACAUUAGUGAAAACAAUUCCUGCACCACAAGGAAGAAAGAAACAUUUUUUUGCAGCCACCUAGGAGUUAGCAAGGAAAGAUGUGGAGCGUGCAUUUGAAGUACUUCAAGGUAGAUUUGCUAUCGUGCAUGGACCUGCUACCUACUUCGACCAAGAAGUACUAAAGGACAUUAUGUAUGCAUGCAUUAUCCUGCACAAUAUAAUUAUUGAAGAUGAACUUCAUCUAUACCUUGGUGCAGAUCAAUUCGUUUACGAACAAUGGAUGAUACUUUGCAUGAACCAAAUUCAAGAGAUCAUAUACCUGCAUUGAUAGAGUUCAUUCAGCAACAUCAUCAUCUUGGAGAUAGACAAACUCAUUCUCAACUCCAAAAUGACAUCAUCGAGCAUUUGUGGAGUUUGCCUGGCUAAAACUAAAAUCUCUACUUCGAGUUCAUCUGCUUUGUAGUUUUAUUUAUUUAUUUUUUAUUUUUAUAAGCUCAUAUGCUUUGUAGUUAUUUUGGGUUAUUUGUAAAACUUAAAAGUGUUAUCGGAGAUGUUUCUUUUAUUA